CUAGACAGACGCUCUGCCACUGAGCCAAUGAGGCGCUGGUGAGAGGCCGAGUGAAAAAGAAGCACAAACUGCGGGAGUCUGCGGGCGUGAAACAACUUUUUUCAAUUCAUCUCUUCAU
Molecule: non-coding RNA, 118 nt
Organism: Caenorhabditis elegans
Lineage: Eukaryota; Metazoa; Nematoda; Chromadorea; Rhabditida; Rhabditidae
Source: Ensembl